ACCGGAGGAACGAAGGCUAAGUGCGCCACAUCGUGUGGCAACGCCUUCGUGACCAACAUCCUGUUGG
This 67-nucleotide small RNA is filed under the name Psychrobacillus sp. OK032. RNAcentral describes it as "Bacillaceae-1 RNA". It matches the Rfam family "Bacillaceae-1 RNA". The record is from RNAcentral. Lineage: Bacteria; Bacillati; Bacillota; Bacilli; Caryophanales; Bacillaceae.